AUGGUGUUUUUUAAAAUAUGUAUAUUUUGAUAAAUUAAAAUGUGCAAUCCAUAUUAUUAUUUAGAAUUGGUCAUCAGUUCAAGAAUAAAGGGAAAAAAAGCAAAGCAAAAAAAUCCCUCAGAGAUCCCUUAUUAUAAGAACAUAACACCUGCAACAGAACUUAAAAGUCAAGUAUUAAAGAGUUUGUGUAUUUUGGAAAGCAACUGUCAGAAAGAAGAGAUUUUGAAUGUUUAGAGAGCAAGUAGUACCCAAAGCUCAUUCCAGGUUUCUGAAUGGGUUCAAAAUAGGCUAAGUUAAAGAAAAAUUAAUAUGACGGUUUACUAUAACAAACACUAUUUCAUAGGAAUGACGUCAUGAUCUGAAACAUUGGUCUGUUGAGGUGAUAAAGGAACUGCAACCAAGUGUUCAACAGCAAGUUUCCAAAGGAACAGAUACUCAUGAUAAGAAUAGGUGUUCUACUUCAUUCCCAGCUUAUUAUAUUUUUAGGCAGGAAAGGACCAGAACGUGAGAAUCUAGAGGUAAUACAAAACAUCUGCUGAUAUACUGAUUGCUAUGACUGAUUUUGAUUCCUGAAACUGAAAAAAGUAUUUUCCUUUUUACAUGCAAUCAAUAUGGAACAGCAAAGAAACUCAUAGCAAAUAUAUUGUAAGACUUUCUGUAAUAAAUUCCAAUUUCUUUGAAAGCACUGCAUGUGAUCACUGAACCUGUUAAUAUUGUCUGGGAAAUUUAUGCUGUCUCCCACCUAACAGACUGUACAUCACCUGCAGAAUAAUAAUGUUGAAAGUAAUUUAAAACCAAAGAACUGUUUUAGUUUUCAAGACUGAAGAAUGGAUAUUACGCUUCUUACAAAUCAUAAAUAACUCCUAAAUUUGAAGGAUAAACAUGAUAUAGGGGUUUUGCUGGAUGCUAAUAAGUGGAACAUAUAAAAUUCUAAUUGCUUUGGACAGUUGAAGUUGUCAGUCCAUAACACUGCACACCACAUAGACAGCCUUAGGCACUUCAGUACUCUAAUUACAGAAAGUCUGGCUCUUCACCAGUGUUUUAACACCUGAUUUAUUUCCUGUUCAAGUUGUUCAAUAGAGUCAGACUUAAUUGGUUUUCCAAAUGACUGUUAAAAAUAUAAAGAUCUGGUUUCAUUAAGUGGAGGCUAUACGUAUGCACCACUGAGUUGUAAAUCCAUGUAAAGGUUAGCAGGUGAGAUUUCAGAGUCCCGUGUACAAAAUCACAACUUCAGUUGAUUUCUUUUGCUUACAAAUUAUUGUUAAUAUCUGUUAAUUGACUUUAACUGCUUUUUCUAUUUAAAAGAGAAAGUUAAGCUGCAUGAAAAAAGUAAACAAAUCUGAAGCUAAACAUAUUAAAAGUGGGUUAAUCCAUUUUAUUUAUUUCAUGCUAUGUUCACCAUUCAUCUAAAAGGAUUACAAUACUUCUUUGCAAACUCAAUGUACUUUCUGUAUUCAUAAAAUGGAACAAGCAUUGUGCUGACUCCCUUACUGCUGAUAAAAGAUUCCUCCCUAUCACCUUGUUACCUGGCAAUGUAUCACAAACAAAUUAUCAUUUCCUAUUUUCAUGGCCUACUCUCUGUUGGAGUUCUGUAACGCGAUGCUUCUAACAGCAAAAUUGCAAUUCAAGAAGCAAAGAGAGUUGGCAGGUAUUUAAAAUUGUUUUUGAAUUCCUAUGAAGACAAUAAAAGAGGACUUACUGCGUUUUUGUUUUUGUUUUUUUUUUUUCCUUAGGAGCAAUUCAUAUUUGCUUUUGUCCCAUGUAAGUGUGUUCGUUUUCCUGUGAUUUUUUUUUUUUAUUUUUGCACUGUUCCCCAUUAUUUUUUUCUUGAAGUACUUCAAAAUUUCAGUAAGAAAUUCAGUAAGUUUAGGUUCAGUAAAAGAAAGCAGAGUGACAUAUAGCAUUUGUAGACUGUCCUUUUUCUUUAAGAGCAGCGGGUAGGAAGAUGUGAGGACAGUAGCUGAGAAGAAAAGCCUGGAGCUGAUCUGGUGGAUAGAGUAAUGAUGGCACACGGGCAUAGAAACAUCAUGAUAGAUGUCAGGUGGUCAAAACAGGGGCCUCAGAGAAACAGCAGUGCAUAUGUUCAUGGAGCCUGUGGAAGAAGCGAAGAAGUUCCCCAAGAAAGAGGCACGUGGAAGUCUAGAACUAAAUGAUAUGAU
Non-coding RNA from Meleagris gallopavo (turkey), 2159 nucleotides. NCBI's taxonomy places the organism in Eukaryota, Metazoa, Chordata, Aves, Galliformes, Phasianidae. The record is from RefSeq and is a predicted model, not a curated record.